Molecule: transfer RNA, 77 nt
Filed under: Faecalibacterium prausnitzii
Lineage: Bacteria; Bacillati; Bacillota; Clostridia; Eubacteriales; Oscillospiraceae
Also listed under: 1 other name
Description: tRNA-Thr
Rfam family: tRNA
About the family: Transfer RNA (tRNA) molecules are approximately 80 nucleotides in length. Their secondary structure includes four short double-helical elements and three loops (D, anti-codon, and T loops).
Source: RNAcentral
GCCGCUUUAGCUCAGGUUGGCAGAGCACCGGAUUUGUAAUCCGGGGGCCGUGGGUUCAAGCCCCGCAAGCGGCACCA